CUCAAAUAGGGAAGAGAUCUAUGCACAUCACUCACUGUGUUUUUUUAAUUAUUAUUUUCUGUUCCGUGGUGUAAAGAUAUUGUUGAAAGUGUAAAGAAAGGCCUGCAGAUACCCCUACGAGUAAUAGUGAUAAGGAAAAGAGGAAGCAGGCCAGGCAAGGUGGCUCACGUCUGCAAUCUCAACACUUUGGGAGGCCGAGGCGGGUGGAUCACUUGAGGUCAGGAGUUCAAGACCAGCCUGGCCAACAUGGUGAAACCCCUGUCUCUACCAAAAAUACAAAAAUUAGCUGGGUGUAGUGGCAGGCGCCUGUAAUCAGCUACUCGGGAGGCUGAGGCAGGAGAAUCGCUUGAACCCGGGAGGCAGAGGUUGCAGUGAGCCUAUAUGGCACCACUGCACUCCAGCCUGGGCAACAGAGUGAGACUCCAUCUCAAAAAAAAAAAAAAAAAAAAGAAAAAGAGGAAGCAGUUAUGUUUAUAGCACAGAAAGUCAAGUUGCUGGAGAAAUGGGACAGAAGUGUAGGUGUGAAAUAUCCUACAGAAGAGUAUGGUGUUGGCAUAAACACCGUAGAUGACCUAAAGAAACAGAAGGAUGGCCAGGCGUGGUGGCUCAUGCCUGUAAUCCCAGCACUUUGGGAGGCCAAGGUGGGCGGAUCACCUGAGGUCAGGAGUUCGAGACCAGCCUGGCCAACAUGGCGAAACCCCGUCUCUACUAAAAGUACAAAAAACUUGCCGGGUGUGGUGGUGCAUGCCUGUAGUCCCAGCUACUUGGGAGGCUGAGGCAGGAGAAUCGCGUGAACUCAGGAGGCGGAGGUUGCAGUGAGCCAAGAUUGUGCCACUGUACUCCAGCCUGGGCAACAGAGGGAGACUCCAACUCAAAAAAUGAAAAAAAUGAAAAAAAAAAAGAGUACAAAAAAAUUAGCCGUGUGCGGUGGCAGGCGCCUGUAAUCCCAGCUACUCAGGAGGCUGAGGCAAGGGAAUUGCUGAGGCAAGAGAAUUGAAACCUGGGAGGCAGAGGUUGCAGUGAGCCGAGAUCGCGCCUCUGCACUCCAGCCUGGACAACAAGAGCAAGAAUCCAUCUCAAAAAAAAAAAAAAAGAAAGAAAAAAACAGAAGGAUAAACUGAUGAAGUUCUAUAUGCUGAAAAUGAUGAACAGAAGUUAAUGAAAAAGAGAAAAACAAUGCAUAAAGCAAAAAAAAUGAAGAUCUUCAUUGUGUAUUGAAAGAGUAGAUCCAUCUGGCUGGGCACGAUGGCUCACACCUGUAGUCCCAGAACUUUGGGAGGCUGAGGUGGGUGGAUCACUUGAGGUCAGGUGUUCAAGACCAGCUGGCCAACAUGGUGAAACCCCAUCUCUACUAAAACUACAAAAAUUAGCUGGGCGUGGUGGCAGGUGCCUGUAAUCCCAGCUACACAGGAGGCUGAGGCAGGAGAAUUUCUUGAACCCCGGAGAUGGAGGUUGCAGUGACUUGAGAUCAUGCCACUGCACUCCAGCCUGGAUGACAGAGCAAGACUCUGUCUCAACAAAAAAGAAGAGUAGAUCCAUCAGCAUUGCACUGAUGGAUCCAUCCAACAUGUGCCGCUUAAUGGUAUACUGAAGGUGAAACAAGCAAGAUCUAUCACGAUGAACAGAAAAUUUAAGGAAACUGAAUAUUCAACAGGCUGAUUGCAGAUUUUUUGGGGUGUGGGGACAGGUCUCACUCUAUUACCCAGGCUGGAGUGCAGUGACAUAAAUAUGGCUCACUGCAGACUCAGCCUCCUAGGCUCAAGCAGUCCUCCCACCUCAGCCUCCCAAGUAGCUGGGAACACACACACAUACACCAUCAUGCCAGGCUAAUAAAUUUUUUGCAGAGACAGGGUCUUGCCAUGUUGCCCAGGCUGGUCGUAAACUCCUAGGCUCAAGAAACCCUCCCACUUUGGCCUCCCAAACUGUUGGGAUUACAGGUAUGAGCCACUGCACCUGGCUGGUUGCAGAAAUUUAAGACGAGACAUGAUGUUACAUUUUUAAAGAUUUGUAGGCCAGGUGCAGUGGCUCAUGCCUGUAAUCCCAGCACUUUGGGAGACUGAGGCGGGUGGAUCACUUGAGGUCAGGAGUUUGAGACCAGCCUGGCCAACAUGGUGAAACCCUGUCUCUACUAAAAAAAAACACAAAAAUUAGCCGGGCAUGGUGGUGGACGCCUGUAAUCCCAGCUACUCCGGAGGCGGAGGCAGGAGAAUUGCUUGAACCCAGGAGGUGGAGGUUGCAGUGAGCCGAGAUGGAGCCACUGCACUCCAGCCUGGGCAACAGAGUGAGAUUCUGUCUCAAAAAAAAAAAAAAGAAAAGAAAAAAAAAAGAGAAAAUGCAUGAUGAGCUUAUUGAGGGGCAAGAGCAGAAUGCAUUCAUAACAAAAUCAUGUCUAAGACAAAAACCAUUGGUAAUGAAGCAGAUGAAGCCUGGUGUGGCAGUUCAUGCCUGUAAUCCCAGCACUUUGGAAGGCAAAGGUGGGAGGAUCGCUUGAGUCCAGGAGUUGGAGACCAGCCUGGGCAACAUGGCAAGACCCCAUCUCUACAAAAAAUUUAAAAAAUUAGCUGGGCAUGGUAGUGUGCACCUGUGGUCCCAGCUACGUGGGAGGCUGAGGUGGGAGGAUCAUGUGAGCCCGGGAAGUCAUGGCUGCAGUGAGCCAAGAUCACACCACUGCACUCCAGCCUGGGCAACAGAGCAAGACCCUGCCACAAAACAAAACAAAAAACAAAAAACAAACAAAAAAAAAUAGAAAAAAAAAAAAAAAGGCAGAUGACUCUGGAGGAAACAUUUUAAAAAGCCAUCCAGGAGAAUGCCUCCUUGUCCCUAGGGGACCCACUUCCUGCUCCCUCAACUGCUUCUGAUGUUUCUUCUCACCUUAAAAAAAAUACAGUGUAGUCCCCUCUCUCCUCUCCCUUCUCCCCUCUCCCCUCUCCCUCUCGGUCUCCCUCUCCCUCUCUUUCCACGGUCUCCCUCUGAUGCCGAGCCGAGGCUGGACUGUACUGCUGCCAUCUCGGCUCACUGCAGCCUCCCUGCCUGAUUCUCCUGCCUCGGCCUGCCGAGUGCCUGCGGUUGCGGGCGCGCGCCGCCACGCCUGACUGGUUUUCAUGCUUUUUUGGUGGAGACGGGGUUUCGCUGUGUUGGCCGGGCUGGUCUCCAGCUCCUGGCCGCGAGUGAUCCGCCGGCCUCGGCCUCCCGGGGUGCCGGGAUUGCAGACGGAGUCUGGUUCACUCGGUGCUCGGUGGUGCCCAGGCUGGAGUGCAGUGGCGUGAUCUCGGCUCGCUACAGCCUCCAUCUCCCAGCCGCCUGCCUUGGCCUCCCAGAGUGCCGAGAUUGCAGCCUCUGCCCGGCCGCCACCCCGUCUGGGAGGUGGGGAGUGUCUCUGCCUGGCCGCCCAUCGUCUGGGACGUGGGGAGCCCCUCUGCCUGGCUGCCCAGUCUGGAGAGUGAGGAGCGUCUCUGCCCGGCCGCCAUCCCAUCUGGGAAGUGAGGAGCGCCUCUUCCCGGCCGCCAUCCCACCUGGGAGGUGAGGAGCGUCUCUGCCCGGCCGCCCAUCGUCUGAGAUGUGGGGAGCGCCUCUGCCCCGCCGCCCCGUCUGGGAUGUGAGGAGCGCCUCUGCCCGGCCGCGACCCCGUCUGGGAGGUGAGGAGCGUCUCUGCCCAGCCGCCCCGUCUGAGAAGUGAGGAGACCCUCCGCCCAGCAUCCGCCCCGUCUGCGAAGUGAGGAGCCCCUCCGCCCGGCAGCCGCCCCGUCUGAGAAGUGAGGAGCCCCUCUGCCCGGCAGCCACCCCGUCUGGGAAGUGAGGAGCGUCUCCGCCCGGCAGCCGCCCCGUCCGGGAGGGAGGUGGGGGGGUCAGCCCCCCGCCCAGCCAGCCGCCCCGUCCGGGAGGGAGGUGGGGGGGUCAGCCCCCCGUCCGGGAGGUGAGGGGCGCCUCUGCCCGGCCGCCCCUACUGGGAAGUGAGGAGCCCCUCUGCCCGGCCACCACCCCGUCUGGGAGGUGUACCCAACAGCUCAUUGAGAACGGGCCGGGAUGACAAUGGCGGUUUUGUGGAAUAGAAAGGGGGGAAAGGUGGGGAGAAGAUUGAGAAAUCGGAUGGUUGCCGUGUCUGCGUAGAAAGACGUAGACAUGGGAGACUUUUCAUUUUGUUCUGUACUAAGAUAAAUUCUUCUGCCUUGGGAUCCUGUUGAUCGGUGACCUUACCCCCAACCCUGUGCUCUCUGAAACAUGUGCUGUGUCCACUCAGGGUUAAAUGGAUUAAGGGCGGUGCAAGACGUGCUUUGCUAAACAGAUGCUUGAAGGCAGCAUGCUCGUUAAGAAUCAUCACCA
RNAcentral lists this long non-coding RNA (4320 nucleotides) under Homo sapiens (human). RNAcentral's name for it is "HSALNT0003173". The record is from RNAcentral. Lineage: Eukaryota; Metazoa; Chordata; Mammalia; Primates; Hominidae.